GCCGGGCAAGGUGGUGCACACCUGUAAUCCCAGCAGCUCGGGAGGCUGAGGCAGGAGGAUUGUGAGUUCAAACCCAGCCUCAG
This 83-nucleotide small RNA is filed under the name Marmota monax (woodchuck). Lineage: Eukaryota; Metazoa; Chordata; Mammalia; Rodentia; Sciuridae. The record is from RNAcentral.